GUGAGGCAGGCACCGUAAUAAUUGCUCCAUAACCAGCUGGCAAGAAAAUCCAAGCUCGUAAUUAGUAAUCAUCAUGAAACAGCUUUCUUGGCUGACAGCACAGAAACCAAAACAGUAGAUGUGCUGGUUCCGGCUGCUGAGGGCCAGGGUCUGCAGACCUGCCCUGUGAAGCUUACGUGGCCUGCCAGACUUCAUGCUCGGCAGGUCCCGUGGCCUCCUGGGGCUGUUUCUUUGAGGUAUAAAGAGGGUGGACCAGAUGCAGUUGUUUCAAAUUGCUUUCUGAGGGUCUUCCUCCUGGGCUGGACUAGGUCAGGGGGCUUUCAUCCUCCAUCAAUCAGGCCAACAAGUCUAUUCUAUAAACUGGGGUCCACAUUCAAUUUUAUUUGAACAAAAUGUUCUAUCAGCCUGAAAACUGCUAGGAAGGUCUCUAAGGCCUUCUGGCUCUGAGCCUGCAAUUCCAAUGCUUGUUAGCAGAUUUGUUUGUCCAGCUGUUGGUGUCUCUUCUUCCUGGCUUUGCCGCUCAGCCCUGGGCUUUCCAGAACUUUCUAGGGAUCUCCUAAGAGGGCAAGCGGGUGGUACUUUCUGUAUUUUAAUAUUGUGUUAGAAUCUGGGACAUCUGAUUGCUGAAAUGAGAUGUUAGUUGGUACAGGCAGGGGUUUCCAGGACCGGCACGCCCUUGCGGAGUGCCUGCUGGAGGGAGCCGGUGUGUCCAGGACGCCCUUGCGGAGUGUCUGCUGGAGGGAGCCGGUGUGUCAGUGAGAUGGCUAUGCCCCUGGGCUGCUGCGUCCCAGGUUUCCUCAGUCUCUAACCCUUUGUUCUCACAGGGGAUGGACUCUUCCUUCUUUUCCCAACUCCACCAAGAGGGACCGUCCCAGGACGUCCUUCCCUGGGCAUCCGGCCCUACAGCUGCCUGAGGUCUCCAUCACCGUUGGCGCCAUCAGUCUGCUGUGCAGCCAGCUGUUGGUUUGGAGAGCCUGAAGAACUGCAGUUCACGUCUCAUCUAAAGGAGCUGAAAUGAUAUUGCAGCUUUCUCUUUUGGUUGCGUGCGGUGAGAAUCUGGGAGCUGAACCUGUUAUCUGCAUGGUCUUCAGAAAUCAGGCAAACUCGGAAAAUGCCAACGCCAAAAAUGCUGAUGGGUGACAAAGUGUCACAGGUGUGAUGCAUUACAAAUCUCAGGACUUUUGUUCACUGGAUUUGAAAGGUCAAGCUUCACAGGAAAAUGAUGAAGUCCCAAAAGACCAGAAAUAUAUUUCAGAAGAUGCCAGUUACUGCUUUAAAAUGUCAAACCAACAUUUCAGAAAUAACUUUCAAUAAUUAUUUCCUGCCAAGAAGGUGAACGCUGGAGACCUUAAUGGUGGAAGAUGGAGGGCGUCUUUCCUUCUGUUAAGCUGACAACUUGGCUUCCAUCUUGUGAGGACCUCACCCUACCUGGUGGCAGAGGACGUCUGACACCCUCAAUCAUUGCCAUUACACUUCCCAGCCUGGUGGUCAGUCUCCUGGGGUCUGUGUGUUAACAAACCAUCGACUGGACAAUCGCAGUUUUCCUUAUGAAGGCUUACUUUAAAAAGGCUCUGGAUUUUCAGAAGUGAAGUCGCUUUCAUCCCCGAUUCAGACCCAUCCUCGUGGAGGAAAAAUCCUACCAGAAGAAGGGCUGACCAUAGGAACUUGCCAUUUCCUUGACCCCAUCAUAUCUGAGGAAAAAACAACAGAAAAGCCGUUGCCCGAGCCACGUGUUGAGGAUGACGGCAUCGCGUUCUUUCUGCCCAGGACCUCAGAGUGGGCGUCCGGUCUCCUGUGUGGGAUGAGAAUACACGCCCUCCUUUCAAUCGCUGCAGACCUCAGAGUGGACGUCCGGUCUCCUGUGCGGGAUGAGAAUACACACCUUCCCUUCCACCGCUGCAGACCUCAGAGUGGACGUCCGGUCUCCUGUGUGGGAUAAUACACGCCCUCCUUUCAAUCGCUGCGGACCUCAGAGUGGGCGUCCGGUCUCCUGUGCGGGACAAGAAUACACUCCUUCCCUUCCAUCGCUGCAGACCUCAGAGUGGACGUCCGGUCUCCUGUGGGGGAUGAGAUACACUCCUUCCCUUCCACUGCUGCAGACCUCAGAGUGGACGUCCGGUCUCCUGUGUGGGAUGAGAAUACACGCCUUCCCUUCCACUGCUGCAGACCUCAGAGUGGACGUCCGGUCUCCUGUGUGGGAUGAGAUACACUCCUUCCCUUCCAUCGCUGCAGACCUCAGAGUGGACGUCCGGUCUCUCUGUGCGGGCCAAGUGUACACAGUUUUGUUCCGUCACAACUUCCACAACAGGCCAGUGUGAGGUUUUUGAGCUGGUGCUGACUGAAAACUGUCAGCUGCCCAAGGACCUGGGAGCUCUGCUCCCCACUCCUGGUGUGCGGGCUUGCGCCUGGCCUCCCUGCCUAGGUUACAUGCAGUGGUCAUCCCGGUCGCUCCCACACCCGUGUGGGCUCUGGGAUCCCCCCUUCCAGCCAGCCCAGGGGACAUCUGGCUGUCUCAGGACCCAGCCAUCUGUAAAAAUUAGGCAGGUCCCUUUAGUAUGCUCCUGGUCAACAAAGAAAAACUUCAAUUUUGAGAAUGGCAUCUGUAUUCCGAAGUGUUCUCUCAGAUGUUUGAGUUCCACUAAGUAGGUAGGAAGUGGCAGUGUUGCUGUUUAAUGGAUUGGUAAUUUUUGAAUAUUUCUUAAACAUUUUUAUUUGUGUUUUUUUGGAUUGAAAUUUAUGUAAUUUGUUACUAUCUGUUAGACUCUUGGUGUUUCUCUUACUGACUGAACCAUAAGAAUACUAACUCCUUUUCAUAUUUCUUGCAUAUAUUUUUCCAUAUUACUGUUUCCCUUUUGAUUUAGCUUGUGGUUUCUGACAUGGUUUCUCAGUCUCACCCUCCUCCACAUUUUGUCUACUCUCAACCCCUCACCCAUCAUGUCUCGGCUUCUGUCCCCUUUAUGCUUCAAUCUCAUCCCCUCCACUGUGUCUGUGUCAUCACUACAGUGUGUCUCAGCCUUAGCUCCCCCACUGUGUCUGUCCCAACUCCCCAUUGUGUCUCAGUCUCACCGCACAUUGUGUCUCAGUCUCACCCCCCAUUGUGUCUCAGUCUCACCCCCACAUUGUUUCUCAGUCUCACCUCCCCAUUGUGUCAGUCUCACCCCCCGCAUUGUGUCUGUCUCAUCCCCCCAUUGUGUCUCAGUCUCACCCCCCAUUAUGUCUGUCUCAAUUCCCCAUUGUGUCUCAGUCUCACCCCCCAUUGUGUCUGUCCCAACUCCCCAUUGUGUCUCAGUCUCACCCCUCAUUGUGUCUCUGUCUCACCCCCCCGCAUUGUGUCUCUGUCUCACCCCCCAUUGUGUCUGUCUCAACUCCCCAUUGUGUCUCUGUCUCACCCCCCAUUGUGUCUGUCUCAACUCCACACUGUGUCUCAGUCUCACCCCCACAUUGUGUCUGUCUCAUCCCCCCCAUUGUGUCUCAGUCUCACCCCCCCAUUGUAUCUCAGUCUCACCCCCCGCAUUGUGUGUCUGUCUCAUCUCCCCCACUGUGUCUCGGUCUCAUUUCUCCGAUUGUGUCUCUGUUUUGUCCCCCUUAUUGUGGGGGUCUUGUCCCCCUUUUUAUGUCUCUGUCAUUCCUUUCCUAAUAUGUAUUCAGGGGCCUGGGGUUGGUUUUUACUGACAAGAGCAUCUGCAGAGCUGAGUAGCCCAUGAAGAAAGCAUGUUUCCCUGGGUCCCCGCAGAACUCCAAUCACUGUGGCACCACUGUGAAGAUCUUGGGGGUCUGGUGCUGUUCCUCACUCGGGGGAGCAGUGAGUCCAUGUUCUCACCAACUGGGAGAGGAAGCGUGGGCAGAUAGUGUGGGUGGAAAAUGUUUGCUUCAUUUGACAUUGGCGUCAAGCCAGAUCUGUGUGCCAUUUGAGAACACAAUGAUCUGAAUGAAAAGAGCUCCUAAAAACAAAACCUGAAAAUUUUUCUCUGUGGAAGAGCCCUCAGUUAUUAUUUCACCUUCCCUAGUGGUUGCUACAGCAACAAGCAUCUUGUGUGAUGCCUGACAGGAAGAGCCCAGAGACCUGAUUGAAGAACAGAUCAUUGCUUCACUUUAAAUAAGGUUUUGCAGCCAGGCGUGGUGGCUCAUGCCUGUAAUCCCAGCACUUUGGGAGAGUGAGGCGGGUGGAUCACUUGAGGUCAGGCAUUCAUGACCAGCCUAGCCAACAUCAUGAAAUCCUGUCUCUACAAAAAAUACUAAAAUUAGCCAGGUGUGGUGACACGCGCCUGUAAUCCCAGUUACUUGGGAGGCUGAGAGGCACGAGAAAUCUCUUGAACCCGGGAUGGGGAGGCUGCAGUGAGCCAAGAUUGUGCUACUGCACUCCAGCCUGCGCAACAGAGUGAGACUUCGUGUAAAAAAAAAAAUUAGGCUUUGCUUUUUUCUCAUGGAAUUAAAUAUUUUCAAAUGUAUUUCCAACAAAAUGAACUAAUUUUUCUAAUCUUUUUUCCCUUCUAAUAUCUAUAUUUUAAGCUACAAAUUUUCUUGCAAGGAUUCCUUUAGUUGCAUCCUACAAAUUUUGAUGUGUUUUUCUUCGCAUUCAGCUCAACAUAUUUUGAAAUUUCUCGUGAUUUCUUCUUUGAUAUAUUUAGAUAUGCAUUACUUAACUUCAAAUAUUUGGCAUUUUUAUGUUAUUAAUUUCUAGUGCAAUUUAAUUAUGGUCAGAGCCUACUCUGUAUCAUUUCAUUCCUCUGGAAUUUAUCAGGACUUGAUUUAUGGUCUAGUAUAUGGUCCAUUUUGGUGAAUGUUCAUGUGCACUUGAAAAAAAUAUGGAUUCUGCAGUUGUUGGGUGAAAUGUUCUCUGUGUGCUCUCAAGUUGGUUAAUAUUGUUAGUUAAUAUUAUUGUUUGAAUGUUCUAUAUUCUUACAGAUUUUCUUAGUCUGCUGUAUCAAUGACACAGAGAGAUGUGCAUUAAAACCUCAACCAUGUGGAUCUAUUUCUUUUCAGUUAAUUUUGCUUCAUGUAUCUUGAAGCUCUGUUAUCAGGUGCAUGCACAUUUGGGAUUGUUAUGCUUCCCUGAUGAACUGACCUUCUUUCAUUAUGCAAGGGGAAGAAGAUGCUGCAUACAGGAUGGAAUAUCCAGGGGAAGACGUCUAAGGAGAGACACCCAGCUGGAAGUCAAGAUAUGUCAGUUGUUUCCAUUAUAAUAAAACCACUCAUGUUAGAUGAGCUGAACUUUCCCUUUUCCCCAGUUCUUAUGAUCAAAAAGUGGCUGUCCUAAAUUUCCUCACUCAAUAUCCUUGCUAGAGUCUUCCUUUGUCAGCCAGGCUGGAGUGCAAUGUGCAAUGGCACAAUCUUGGCUCACUGCAACCUCUGUCUCCUGGGCUCAAGCAAUUCUUCUGCCUCAGCCUCCUGAGUAGCUGGGAUUACAGGUAUGCACCACCAUGCCCAACUAAUUUUUGUAUUUCUGUAGAGACAAGGUUUCACCAUGUUGGCCAGGCUGGUCUCGAUCCUGACCUCAGGUAAUCUGCCCACCUUGGCCUCCCAAAGUGCUGGGAUUACAGACAUGAGCCAUCAUGCCCAGACAUAAGUGAGUUUUAUAUUGUAUUAUAACACUAUGAUACAGUAAAACCAUGAAAUCCAAAUUUAUAAUAAUAUCACCCUACAUAAUACAACUGUAACCUCACCGCCCUAUCCUGGGAUGUGUGUCAUUUUUAUAGCCAAUUAUGGUCCCCAGCUUUAGUUUUCUUUUGCUUAUUGGAGAGUGUAAUUCUCCCUUAUUCUUUUUGCUUUCUACAGUCUUGUGUACAUCAGUUAUCUGUUUUUGUCCUUUUGCCAGUGUUCAAAGUGUUAUUUUUCCUAUUUACUUAAGCUCCUGCAGGGAGAUUAGAAUUUCUUCCCCUAAGAAGAAAUAAGUAAUAGUGGAGACCUGCUGGGCACUGGUGGCGCCAGGCCUGGCUCCGGGGCUGCCCAUCCAUCCUCACAGCAUGGCGA
This is a long non-coding RNA of Pan troglodytes (chimpanzee), 5970 nucleotides long. RefSeq lists it as uncharacterized. The transcript is spliced from 4 exons. Lineage: Eukaryota; Metazoa; Chordata; Mammalia; Primates; Hominidae. The record is from RefSeq and is a predicted model, not a curated record.